UCCCAGUCGUCGUCUUAUUUCCAUGUGUUUCACUCCAGCUGACUCCUCCUCUCCAGGUGAGUCUAGUCUGUGUGUUUCACUACAGCUGACUCCACCUCUCCAGGUGAGUCUAGUCUGUGUGUUUCCCUCCAGGUGUCUCCUCCUCUCCAGGUGAGUCUAGUCUGUGUGUUUCCCUCCAGGUGUCUCCUCCUCUCCAGGUGAGUCUAGUCCGUGUGUUUCACUCCAGGUCAGUCUAGUCUGUGUUUUUCACUACAGGUACAGGUUUGUUCUUGUCUCCAGUUGGGUGGUGGCUCCUCUCCAGAGUUGGUGUUCUCUCUCUCUCUGGGUUCUGCUCUUCAGAGCCUCGGCGCUGCAUGAACCGUGUUCCUGUGGUUCCUCGGGUUAAAGUCCAACUGGGACGCGGUCGAUCCUUCCUGUUUAAGACCUCCCCUCCCCCUAGCAGGCACCAUGUGACCUGCUCAUUACCAUACAGAGAGCAGCAUUCCUCAGACUCCUCU
Molecule: long non-coding RNA, 497 nt
Organism: Gadus macrocephalus (Pacific cod)
Lineage: Eukaryota; Metazoa; Chordata; Actinopteri; Gadiformes; Gadidae
Exons: 2
Source: RefSeq, a predicted model, not a curated record